RNAcentral lists this ribosomal RNA (480 nucleotides) under uncultured bacterium. RNAcentral's name for it is "partial 16S ribosomal RNA". It matches the Rfam family "Bacterial small subunit ribosomal RNA", at positions 28 to 523 of the family's 1533-position model. The record is from RNAcentral.
GACGAACGCUGGCGGCGUGCUUAACACAUGCAAGUCGAACGAUGAAGUUCCUUCGGGAAUGGAUUAGUGGCGAACGGGUGAGGAACACGUGAGAAACCUGCCUUUCAUUUUGGGAUAACUCCGGGAAACCGGGGCUAAAACCGAAUACUCCGUCUCGGCGGCAUCGCUGAGCCGGGAAAAAAUUUUGAUGAAAGAUGGUCUCGCGGCCUAUCAGCUAGUUGGUGAGGUAAUGGCUCACCACGGCAACGACGGGUAGCCGGCCUGAGAGGGCGGCCGACCACACUGGGACUGGGACACUGCCCAGACUCCUACGGGAGGCAGGAGUGGGGAAUAUUGGGCAAUGGGCGCAAGCCUGACCCAGCGACGCCGCGUGAGGGAUGAAGGCCUUCGAGUUGUAAACCUCUUUCAGUAGGGAAGAAGCGAAAGUGACGGUACCUAAAGAAGAAGCACCGGCUAACUAUGUGCCAGCCGCCGCCGUAA